UCUGCACUUUCAGAUAUGGUCCUCGAAGAUGUGACAGAAUUUGAAAUCACACCGGAGGGACGGAGGAUCACGAAACUGGACCAGAUCCUCCUCAACGGCAACAACAUCACCAUGCUCAUCCCUGGAGGAGAAGGUCCUGAAGUCUGAGACGAGAAUCAUCACUGGCGAGACUGUGGAUUUAAUCCAUUUCCAUGUUGUUCUUCCUGAGUUUGUUAUAUUGUUGUUUUAUUGUUCCUUCUACGUGUUGAUUGAGGGAGAUAUUUUUGUAAGAUUCAUUGAGUAUUUGUUAAAUUUGAACUGUAUCGCACAGAAAAUUUCUUUUUAGAA
Gasterosteus aculeatus aculeatus (three-spined stickleback) is the source of this 327-nucleotide non-coding RNA. The record is from RefSeq and is a predicted model, not a curated record. NCBI's taxonomy places the organism in Eukaryota, Metazoa, Chordata, Actinopteri, Perciformes, Gasterosteidae.